This is a long non-coding RNA of Photinus pyralis (common eastern firefly), 874 nucleotides long. RefSeq lists it as uncharacterized. The transcript is spliced from 2 exons. Lineage: Eukaryota; Metazoa; Arthropoda; Insecta; Coleoptera; Lampyridae. The record is from RefSeq and is a predicted model, not a curated record.
GACAAAUGUUUCCAUAGUAAUUUCUACUAACACGAGCCCCGAUUGAAUUAACGUAAAGCACAAAAUGAUGCUAAUUGUGAAUGAGGUACGUCAUAAAAAAACCCAUCCAUUGCAUCAGUGUCCAGUAAGGGGCAUACUUUUCAGAUUUUAAUAAAAAAUUCACAGAUUUCGCAAUCCAUGCCAACCAUCAAGAGAUAUUGGAAAUCACAACGUAGAACGCCAUAUAUAAAACACAAUUAUUUAAUCGAAUCACUCUUCUGAAUAAUGAGCCUAGUUUGCAUAGACGCAAUUAUCUCCAUUUUUAUCAUAAUUUAUUUCCUUCGUUUUGUAGAUGAAAAUAUGUCAACUUUUACCGAAUUUUCGCAUUUCGUAGCCAACGCCCAACAUGCGAAAACGACGUAACAUGCGGUUGUAAUACUAUCAAAUUAUAUUUGCGAGAAUUUUAGAUUGGAAUUAACAAAGCAAUUGAGCACUGUUAUGUAAGUACCCUAUCGACAGUAACCGUGACUUUUCUUCACCUACCGAUCACGGUCGAGUACGGUACAAUCGUCACUUGAUGCAACACCGUUGUCUUUUCGCAGCUUGAACGAAACUCAUAACUUUGUACCCAUAUACCUAGGAAACCAAAAACAUCUGUUAAAAAACAAUGUUAAAAAAAAGCAUUGCAUCAAAAAGAUCUGACAACUGGGAAGUGCGAGACGAGCAAUGGUUGUAUGAAGCACCCAAAUUUACCUAUAGUUAUGUUUUAAAUUACUUGUUGCAGUGCAACCUAAAGUUAAACUUAACUGAUAGACCUAAUCAUUCAAUAUUGUGAAAACUUUUUUUAAUUUACUACAUUGAAUUAUUUGAUGAUUAAUAAAUGCGUUUUAUUUUC